Molecule: long non-coding RNA, 422 nt
Organism: Lampris incognitus (smalleye Pacific opah)
Lineage: Eukaryota; Metazoa; Chordata; Actinopteri; Lampriformes; Lampridae
Exons: 4
Source: RefSeq, a predicted model, not a curated record
CUGGUCUUCCCCUCUUGGAAUUUUCCUGCGCAAAGAAGAGAAUGUGCUCUGUAGCGCCUACCAGAGGAGAGGAGUUGGAACAGGUUGAGACCAGGGUGUGAUGGGUCUGCAGUGAUGUUGCCUGCCCGUUUCCUGAGUCUGGAGGUGUAUAAGUCCUGAUUGGAGGGCAGAUGCUCGAGCUUGUUUCCUGCAGAACAACACCAGCGGAUGUCGAGGGAUCUUGCAAUUUUCCAAGCUUGCAUGUACCAAUGAUCCCGAGAGCGAUACCAUCUGGAGCUUGGCUCCUGGUAGGUUCACCCAAAGCGGAUAGGUCAAGGGGGAGGUUCCAGACGACGAAGUGUGAUCCAACAAAGACCUUAACAGCGGAACUGGUGGAAGAUGUCUUCAGGUCACAACAGCAGUGAAGGUGGAUGAAGGCUGCA